GUCUAUGGCCAUGCCGCCCUGAACAUGCCCGAUCCCGUCUGAUCUCAGGGUCAGGCCUGAUUAGUACUUGGAUGGGAGACCACCUAGGAAGAUCAGGUACUGUAGGUG
RNAcentral lists this ribosomal RNA (108 nucleotides) under Pteropus alecto (black flying fox). Lineage: Eukaryota; Metazoa; Chordata; Mammalia; Chiroptera; Pteropodidae. The record is from RNAcentral.